UGGCGAGUGGCGGACGGGUGAGUAACACGUAGGAAUCUGCCCAGCAAGAGGGGGACAACCCGAGGAAACUCGGGCUAAUACCGCAUAUAUUCUGAGGAAUAAAGCUGGGGUAAAACCUGGUACUUUUGGAGGAGCCUGCGUCCGAUUAGCUAGUUGGUUAGGUAAAGGCUGACCAAGGCGACGAUCGGUAGCUGGUCUGAGAGGAUGAUCAGCCACACUGGGACUGAGACACGGCCCAGACUCCUACGGGAGGCAGCAGUGGGGAAUAUUGGACAAUGGGGGCAACCCUGAUCCAGCAAUGCCGCGUGUGUGAAGAAGGCCUUCGGGUUGUAAAGCACUUUAGGUUGGGAAGAAGGUUAUUAGUUUAAGAGAUGAAUAACUUGACUGUACCAGCAGAAUAAGCACCGGCUAACUCUGUGCCAGCAGCCGCGGUAAUACAGAGGGUGCGAGCGUUAAUCGGAUUUACUGGGCGUAAAGGGCGCGUAGGUGGGUUGAUUAAGUGAUAUGUGAAAUCCCCGGGCUUAACCUGGGAAUGGCAUUUUAUACUGGUCAACUGGAGUGCAGUAAAGGUAAAGGAUUUCCGGUGUAGCGGUGAAAUGCUUAAAUAUCGGAAGGGACACCAGUGGCCAAGGCGUCUACCUGGACUGAAACUGACCCUGAAGCCUGGAGCGAGGGACAACAGGAUAAAUACCCUGGUAGUCCCGCUGUAA
RNAcentral lists this ribosomal RNA (710 nucleotides) under uncultured Legionella sp. RNAcentral describes it as "bacterial SSU rRNA". It matches the Rfam family "Bacterial small subunit ribosomal RNA", at positions 89 to 805 of the family's 1533-position model. Lineage: Bacteria; Pseudomonadati; Pseudomonadota; Gammaproteobacteria; Legionellales; Legionellaceae. The record is from RNAcentral.